Molecule: ribosomal RNA, 468 nt
Filed under: uncultured bacterium
Lineage: Bacteria
Description: partial 16S ribosomal RNA
Rfam family: Bacterial small subunit ribosomal RNA
Source: RNAcentral
GACGAACGCUGGCGGCGUGCUUAACACAUGCAAGUCGAACGGAAAGGCCCUGCUUUUGUGGGGUGCUCGAGUGGCGAACGGGUGAGUAACACGUGAGUAACCUGCCCUUGACUUUGGGAUAACUUCAGGAAACUGGGGCUAAUACCAGAUAGGAGCUCCUGCUGCAUGGUGGGGGUUGGAAAGUUUCGGCGGUUGGGGAUGGACUCGCGGCUUAUCAGCUUGUUGGUGGGGUAGUGGCUUACCAAGGCUUUGACGGGUAGCCGGCCUGAGAGGGUGACCGGCCACAUUGGGACUGAGAUACGGCCCAGACUCCUACGGGAGGCAGCAGUGGGGAAUAUUGCACAAUGGGCGGAAGCCUGAUGCAGCAACGCCGCGUGCGGGAUGACGGCCUUCGGGUUGUAAACCGCUUUCGCCUGUGACGAAGCGUGAGUGACGGUAAUGGGUAAAGAAGCACCGGCUAACUACGCG